AUGGGUAGGACUGCCAGCACCCAAAGGAUCACCUUCGAGGCAGAUGAGAAUGAGAACAUCACCGUGGUGAAGGGCAUCCGGGUUUUGGAAAACGUGAUUGAUGGAAUAAAGAAAUCCUCUCCAUCUGGCUCGAAGUCUCAGUGGUAUUCUGGUGCUUAUGGUGCCUCAGUUUCUGAUGAAGAAUUGAAAAGAAGAGUAGCUGAGGAGCUGGCAUUGGAGCAAGCCAAGAAAGAAUCUGAAGAUCAGAAACGACUAAAGUAAGUCAAAGAGCUGGACCGAGAGAGGGCUGCUGCCAAUCAGCAGUUAACCAGAGCCAUCCUUCGGGAGAGGGUAUCAAGCGAGGAGGAACACGCUAAGACAAAGCACCUGGCUAGGCAGCUGGAAGAGAAAGACCGAGUGCUCAAGAAGCAGGAUGCAUUCUGCAAAGAGCAGCUGGCUAGACUGAAGGAGAGGAGCUCAGAGCUCUACAAAGUCACCACUGAAUGAUAUCAGAAAGCUGCUGAAGAGGUGGAAGCAAAGUUCAAGCGAUAUGAGUCUCAUUCAGUCUGUGCCGAUCUGCAGGCCCAAAUUCUUCAGUGUUACUGUGAGAACACCCACCAGACCCCCAAAUGCUCCGCUCUGGCCAGCCAGUAUAUGCACUGUGUCAAUCAUGCCAAGCGAGCAUGCUUGAGAAGGAAGGAUAAAAACUUGGAACAAGCAAAACACUGUUAA
This is a non-coding RNA of Saimiri boliviensis boliviensis (Bolivian squirrel monkey), 711 nucleotides long. The record is from RefSeq and is a predicted model, not a curated record. NCBI's taxonomy places the organism in Eukaryota, Metazoa, Chordata, Mammalia, Primates, Cebidae.